GAGAAAAAUAACUUACUCUACAUUCUCCCCGAUGGAUUCCGAAACCCAGAAGAUCCCUAGGACAUGGACUCACCAUUGAACCCAUUGUUAAGCUUAUGGUUUAACCCAUCUCCCUGCCUACUUGUCAGAUAAACUCACGCUUGAGGAAUUCAACCUAUGCAGUGAUUCCAGCCAGAGGUAUUGGUCCAAAUGAAGCAUGGGAGACAGUUUUCUGGAAGCUUCUGGGGAAGAAGGUGAUCUAUCCUUCUGAGAGAGCCAGGAUUUUCUCUUCAAUCAGAUAUGAUACAUAAACUCCUAAUACUGCCAAUGCAUCCUGCGACCAUAUGAGAAAUAAGCCUUAAGAAGAAGCUAACAAUAUAGAAAGAUGGAAAAGAAAGAAAGACCUUUAUGACAUGAAUGAAGUCAAAUCAAACUAACCCUGAAACUGACUGACACACUCUUAGACUUUCCAAUCACAGAAGCCGUCAUUGAAACUAGUUUACAUUUUCUGUUUCUUGGGGUCAGACAUUUGGGUAUAUAACAUCUAUAUGACUAUAUAGUGAGAGGCCCCCCUUCAUUAGUACCUCCCGUUUGUAAGUCAAUGCUCUAUUAGGAGUAAAUUCCCAGUGGAAUUUUUUCUGCAAUAUUGUCUUUUGACAAAAUAAAUAGGGAUUGGAUGAGAUAAUCUCUAUAACAACCUCCCAGAUCUAAAAACUUAUGCUUCUUUGAAAAUUCAAACUAUAAUUACAGGAGAUUUUUGAAUUUUAGAUACUUCAAACUUAAGCUUCAGGUGUUUUGUGAAGCUAUUUGCUGUAUGACAAACUCCCCCUAUUUGAGAAAAUUCUGCCAGUUGUGAUUUUAUGCAUAUUUGUAGCCUUCAAAAGUGGAAAAAAUAAACUGUAAUUCUAGCAAGAGGGCUGGAAAAUGUAAACAAAGCUCAUUAGCCUUGUCAGACAUUUGAUAAAUAAUUAUAAACUGCAACUGCGGUAAGAUGUGUGCAUAAAGCCCAACUUUGAUCUCUUUGGAAAACAAAUGUUCCUGUAACAAUUUAAAACUUUAAUCACACUUAACAUAUCUUCAAGUAUAGAACACAUAAAUAUUCUUUCGAUUCUGCCUGAGCCUGGAUUAUUUUCCACGUUUGUUAGUUAAGAAGAAGACUUACCAUAGACUGCAUUUAAAUAGUAAGCUAAGUAGUUGGGGACUAAUAAACAAAAUGUUUGUCAUACACUAAAUGUAAUCUUUUCCACAUUAACACUGUUGUUAUACUGCAGAAAGAUUAAGGAAACCAAAGAAAUACACUUAUUAGCUUUUAAUGAUUGUAACAGACCGAUACCGGAGCUUUAAAUUGCUUUUCAAAGUCUAGAUUCUAUUUUUAUAAUCAAUGUUCUAACUAAGCAUUCAUCAUUAUGAAGACAAAUCCUGUAAGUCAUACACAUAUCUCUGUCUCCCUCUGACAGACAUUGAUUUAGAAAGGAAAGACUAGAUUCAACCCCCAGGAAACAGCUGUUCUCCUUAGAUAAGGAAAUCAUUGAACUGGCUUUUAAUGUUGUAAGAGAAAGGGAGAGAAAAAGGAAAAGAGAGAGAUUUACUACAGGAGCAAACAACAAAAAUCCGAACUACCUAGAUGACACGACACAAUUUAUAAUUCACAGAACAUAACUUAAUUAUCACAUUUCUUGAUAGCUGACUUUAAACCACAGGUUAUGCUUUCUCCCAAAGCAAAAUGGCCAGCCUUGCCAUUGAUAGCAAAACAAAACAUUCUGAGAAAACUCGGGUGGCAUGAAAAGGUUAAAAGAGAACAGCUGAAAUCUUGAGACCUAAUGAAGCUGCAACACCUGACAGGCCACUCCUGAGAGCACAGGUAGCUUGAAGAACGCUAAAUACCAAGGAAAAUGUUUCAUUUACCUGUUAAACUAGCAAGUUCACAUUGAAGAAUGAUUUAAUACAUACACAUGCACAAGACUACCGGAAUUCAUGCAAAUUUCCCAAGGUAUUCAGUGCUGGAGUACUAUAUGCCCAAACUUCAGAAAUUUUAGAAAUGAAGAUAGACUUUAAUUUGGUUGCCAGGAAUGUUCCCCCUUUAAGAAAUUUAAAUUAGAUUCUCCUUUUCUCUGUUGCUUCAGUCAAAGUCUCUACUGGAACCUUCAUAAUGUCAACAUUAAAAGAAAAAUCAUAUCUCAGAUCCUUGUUCUGAUACUGAAAAAAAAAAAAAGAAAAAGCAUAUCUUUUUUUUGUAUUUGGAACUAAAUACUGCCUUAAAAAUGAAAAUAUGCAUUAAGGAAAGACUAUGUCAAGACUCUCAGCUGUGUUUUAGCAAUAUAUUUCCUUGGUCAACAAUAUUUUUUUAAGAACUGGAGGACAUAGAAGUGACUUCUCUUUCUCAAACUACAAAAAUACUUUGAGGCUCUGUGAAGAGAGGUGUCCAUGGAGUAAAUGAAAGAAGAUGCUUAGAAAUUUUUAAUUAGCUUGUCAAUGGUUCCUCAUGCUGCAUGAACUACCAGAGCAGGUAGUUAUAUUGUAUGUCACGCUAUUCAAUCUCAGUAUAUGUUUUUUUUUCUUAUAACCAAAAGUGGUUUUAGGUAAUGUAUUCAUAGGAUUAAAUAAAUCAACUGCUAAUUUUCAAUAAAACAAGUCCCUCGUUGAGGCAUUCACCAGCAUGGAGAACACAAACAUGAAGACAAUCCCCAAAUCCUUGUUUAGGGGGAUUAAAAUGCUUUAUAUGAUUUAAAAGAAUAGAUUUAACUUUCUAAUUGUAUUUACUCUGCCCUAAUACUAAAAUGAGUUUGCUUUUCCAGGCCACACAUCAAUGGUAACCUGGUAUUUAAAAAAUAAUAAUAAAUGUUAUAAAUAGAUACAAACUGGCUAAUACUGAUUUUUAGAGAGAAUUAUAAAUGUGCAACCUACCAUUACAUUUUAUUGAAAACACAUAUAACAUUAAAAUGCAUGAUUAGUGAUAGAGUAGUAAUGAAAUCAUCCAUAAUCCGGCCAUGCAAAUAUAAUUACUAUAUUUGCAUUCAAAAUUACAGAUCAGGCUGGGUACAGUAGCUCAUGCCUGUAAUCCCAGCACUUUGGGAGGCCAAGGAAGGAGGAUUACUUGAGGACAGGAGUUUAAUACCAGCCUGGGAAGUAUAACGAGAUCCCUGUCUCUACAAAAAUAAAAAUAAAAAUAAAAACAUUAGCUGGGAGUGAUGGCACGUGCCUGUAGUCCUAGCUCUUUGAGAGGCUGAGUCAGAAUUGCUAGAGCCCAGGAGUUUGAGGCUGCAGGGAGCUAGGAUCACGCUACUGCACUCCAGCCUGGGCACAAAGUGAG
RNAcentral lists this long non-coding RNA (3289 nucleotides) under Homo sapiens (human). RNAcentral's name for it is "HSALNT0193626". The record is from RNAcentral. Lineage: Eukaryota; Metazoa; Chordata; Mammalia; Primates; Hominidae.